UCCGCCACUCCCUCGGCCUAGAUCUGCCGUUCGGAAGUAGCUGUGUGUUACCGUGGCCGCACGGUUGUCUUUUUCUCUGGGAUAGUGAGGGUUCUGAGUGCUCCUUACUUUGCGUAGCCCCCCAGAUGGCAAUGCCAAGCCGGUUGUGUCCCUUGGUCACUCAAUGAUGCUUCCCCCUCCUCCCCUCCCCACCUACUCCUUGGGUCUUAAGCAUCUUUCCUCCGGAAUCUUCUCAGAGGGACGGGCGAGGAGGCUAGGGUCUGGAAGAUGACAUCGUGUAGGCCUCAGAGAGGGCAGGGAAUAUGCAUGAACGUGCCCGGGGACGGUGAGUACCACACGCGAAAGGAAGACGUGUGAAGAGCGCUGAGGGGGUGCCGGCAGGAAGAGGGGCCGCCCCGAGUCACGGAAGACGCUCUGUGAUCACGGAAGCCAUCCUGUCCUGCGGGUCUGGGACCAGAGCUUCUGCUCGGUGGCAGGACGAGAGACUAAAGAAGACUAAUAGGAUGUUGUACUGGUUAAAAAAGAAAGGAAAAAAAAAAAAAAACCAAGGUAGGGAGCUGUUAACCAGGACCCAGCAGUGGCGCGAGGAGGAAAGGAAAAGAUUUGGUAACCGGAGAGGACGAGGGUUAGCUGUUCCGGCUCUAGUCCGUGUGACACGACUGCACUGGUCACGGUUCGGCUCUAGUCCGUGUGACACGACUGCACUGGUCACGGUUCAGCUCUAGUCCGUGUGACAUGACUGCACUGGUCACGGUUCAGCCCGCAUUGUAUCGGGAGCCGGUUGAGCGCAGGGAAGGAAGGAGAGCGGGGAGCGAGGAGGAAAUCACUUCCCGCAGCGCUGAUGGCCUGCCCCCAUCCGCUGCCCCUCGAAGUGGAGGAGCGGGAACGCUGAGGUUGGACCGGUGGGGAGCACGGACCCCAAGAGUGUUGCUGAGUGUUGGAAGGGUUUUUACGAAGAGAUUAGAAGCAAGAAAAACCGAAGCUGGGAGGCAGGCAGGCAGCCGCUGCAACACUUCAGGAAAGAGAAGCUGCUGUGGCUAGUGGCUCCCAAACUGGACGACAUAAAAUAUCUCCUGUUGGCCAAGUUCAGUUGUCUCACCUCCUUAUCCACCCUGCUUGAAGCCCUUAUGUCUUGCCUGGAAUACUGAAUGGAUCGUUUCUCCUGGGAAGAUGACUCCCUGAAGCAAUGUUCAGCUGCAUUAAGACCCUGUUUUAUUCAUUAUGUAAGUCCAGUGUCUUCCAUAGUCUUGUAAUAAUAGAAAUGUUGAGCUGCAAAGAAAUUUAAUUUGAAGAUAGAAUUCAUCCUACCUGUGCCAAAACCUUUACAUGGUGAUCUAUAGUAAUUUCUCAAAGGCAUUAAAUGCUGACCUAAUGACUCUCCUUAGUAAACCUCCUCUCAGCGUCA
Suricata suricatta (meerkat) is the source of this 1405-nucleotide long non-coding RNA. RefSeq lists it as uncharacterized. The record is from RefSeq and is a predicted model, not a curated record. NCBI's taxonomy places the organism in Eukaryota, Metazoa, Chordata, Mammalia, Carnivora, Herpestidae. The transcript is spliced from 3 exons.